CAAGAAGAGAAGAAUGCGGUGCUAUCACAACUGAAGCAGUCAGAAACUUCAGUACAAAAUCUUGAGAAUGAGGUGAUACGACUGAAAGAGGAGCUUUCUGUCCAGCUAGAAAACAAUUCCACCUUGGACAAGCAGUUUGAAGAAGCCAGGAGCAAUCUGCAUGCUGAAAUUUCAGAGCUACGUGCAGAUAAGAACACAUCUCUAUUGAAAUUACAGACGUCUCAGGAUUCUGUCAGGAAUCUUGAGAUUGUGGUUGAAAAGCAAACUGAGAACAUUUCAACUCUACAGCAAGCUAAUGAUGAGUUACAGAAGAACAUCUACACUUUGACGGAGCAAUCACAACGAGACAAGGCGGAGAUGCAGGAUGAGUUGAAGGCAAUACAAGAAGAUAAGGAUGCAGUGCUAACACAACUGAAGCAGUCAGAGACUUCAGUACAAAAUCUAGAGGAUGAGUUGACACGACUGAAAGAGGAGCUUUCCGUCCAGCUAGAAAACAAUUCCACCUUGGACAAGCAGUUUGCAGAAGCCAGGAGCAAUCUGCAUGCUGAAAUUUCAGACCUACAUACAGAGAAGGACACAUCUCUACGGGAAUUACAGACGUCUCAGGCUUGUGUCAGGAAUCUUGAGAUUGUGGUUGAAAAGCAAACUGAGAACAUUUCAACUCUACAGCAAGCUAAUGAUG
Molecule: long non-coding RNA, 682 nt
Filed under: Zea mays
Lineage: Eukaryota; Viridiplantae; Streptophyta; Magnoliopsida; Poales; Poaceae
Description: long non-coding RNA (ZMAY_LNC002055)
Source: RNAcentral